GACGAACGCUGGCGGCGUGCUUAACACAUGCAAGUCGAACGGUAAGGCCCUUCGGGGUACACGAGUGGCGAACGGGUGAGUAACACGUGGGUGAUCUGCCCUGCACUUCGGGAUAGGCCUGGGAAACUGGGUCUAAUACCGGAUAGGACCACUGCCUGCAUGGGCGGUGGUGGAAAGCUUUUGCAGUGUGGGAUGGGCCCGCGGCCUAUCAGCUUGUUGGUGGGGUGAUGGCCUACCAAGGCGACGACGGGUAGCCGGCCUGAGAGGGUGACCGGCCACACUGGGACUGAGAUACGGCCCAGACUCCUACGGGAGGCAGCAGUGGGGAAUAUUGCACAAUGGGCGCAAGCCUGAUGCAGCGACGCCGCGUGAGGGAUGACGGCCUUCGGGUUGUAAACCUCUUACAGCACCGACAAAGCGCAAGUGACGGUAGGUGCAGAAGAAGGACCGGCCAACUACGUGCCAGCCGCCGCCGUAA
This 478-nucleotide ribosomal RNA is filed under the name uncultured bacterium. Its description in RNAcentral is "partial 16S ribosomal RNA". It matches the Rfam family "Bacterial small subunit ribosomal RNA", at positions 28 to 523 of the family's 1533-position model. The record is from RNAcentral.